This 85-nucleotide transfer RNA is filed under the name Felis catus (domestic cat). It matches the Rfam family "tRNA". From Rfam's summary of the family: Transfer RNA (tRNA) molecules are approximately 80 nucleotides in length. Their secondary structure includes four short double-helical elements and three loops (D, anti-codon, and T loops). Lineage: Eukaryota; Metazoa; Chordata; Mammalia; Carnivora; Felidae. The record is from Rfam by way of RNAcentral.
GCCUGGGUGGCUCAGUCAGUUGAGCAUCUGACUUUGGCUCAGGUCAUGAUCUCAUUGUCCGUGAGUUCGAGCCCCACGUCGGGCU